UUCAAACUGUGUUUGGAUGUAGGCAGCUGCGUCUUCAUAGGUGUUGGAGCCUGUAGGAAGAUACAGAGGGGCAAGCAAGAUGCCCUGGUGAGAGCUGGGUGUGGACGGGCAGGCAGGAGGCAGAGCAGGCGCGGCGAGGCCGGAGGGAACAGCAUUCCGGUGAGGAAUCGAUUCCUCACCCGAUUCUCCAGGGCAAGGCUGCACAGAAGCUACAAACCACCAAAGGCCUGGCAUUGCCUGGCUUCUGCUUCCUCAGCUUUCACUUACUGUGUUUGUAUUGUAUGUCUGCGAUGGCUCUGGGCAGAGCCGUGGUCACAGAUGAUCUCAUUAACAAAGCUAGAUAAAGCAAGGACCUUUCCAUGUCACGAAGAUGAAAUGGAAACCAACUCCAUUACUCUGUCUCACCACUGGGCCAUCUCCCCAACCCAUGUGACUCUUUAAGAUGUGUGUGUGUGUGUGUGUGUGUGUGUGUGUGUGUGCCUGUGCGAGUGUAUGCACAUGUGAGUGCAGUGUCCACAGAAGCCAGAGAGGGCAUUGGAUCUCCUGGAUAUGGAAUUAGAGGUAGAUGUGAGGCACCUGAUGGGUGCUAGUUACUGAUCUUGGGUCCUCUGCAAGAGCAGGACGUACUCUUUUUUUUUUUUUUUUUGGUUCUUUUUUUCGGAGCUGGGGACCGAACC
Molecule: long non-coding RNA, 677 nt
Filed under: Rattus norvegicus (Norway rat)
Lineage: Eukaryota; Metazoa; Chordata; Mammalia; Rodentia; Muridae
Description: long non-coding RNA NONRATT014043
Source: RNAcentral